RNAcentral lists this ribosomal RNA (292 nucleotides) under uncultured bacterium. RNAcentral describes it as "partial 16S ribosomal RNA". It matches the Rfam family "Archaeal small subunit ribosomal RNA", at positions 455 to 747 of the family's 1478-position model. The record is from RNAcentral.
GUGCCAGCCGCCGCGGUAAUACCGGCAGCCCGAGUGAUGGCCGAUCUUAUUGGGCCUAAAGCGUCCGUAGCCAGCCGAACAAGUCCGUUGGGAAAUCCACCCGCCCAACGGGUGGGCGUCCGGUAGAAACUGGCCGGCUUGGAACCGGAAGGCGCGACGGGUACGUCCGGGGUAGGAGUGAAAUCCCGUAAUCCUGGACGGACCGCCGAUGGCGAAAGCACGUCGCGAAGACGGAUCCGACAGUGAGGGACGAAAGCUAGGGUCUCGAACCGGAUUAGAAACCCGAGAGUCC